This is a long non-coding RNA of Rhinolophus ferrumequinum (greater horseshoe bat), 795 nucleotides long. RefSeq lists it as uncharacterized. NCBI's taxonomy places the organism in Eukaryota, Metazoa, Chordata, Mammalia, Chiroptera, Rhinolophidae. The record is from RefSeq and is a predicted model, not a curated record. The transcript has 4 exons.
GGUGGAAAUAAAAACCCUCUCCCCAAAAGAUUUUCGAUUUAAGGUUGGGUGAGUCCUAAAUCCCAGGCAACAGGCUCAGAGGGGUUUAUAUGCCUGCUCCAAGCCAAGCUCCACUUGCCCGCCCGGCAAGAUUCCACUGGAGAGAGUUAGGUGAUGGUUCUUGACGUCAACCGACCCUGGGUGGCUCUUGAUUCUCAUCUUCCUGACGGUGCCAGAGGGGACAGUUCCAAGGCGGGUCCUCUGUUUUCCUGGGAGCCAUUCCUGCGGGUACGGCCUAUUCUCCUUCCAAUGAUUUUUUUGCUGUGAUCUCCAGGAAAGACCCUCUGAGGGCCUGUGGAUUCCCUCUGAGCAGGAAGAAAGUCUUGUUUUCCUUCUUCUGUUGCAGUGGGAGGGGUAAGGAGGAGAGGUAAGAGAUCCUUCUCAUCCCAGGGGAGGGGACUCUGGGCUUUGUGAUGGGUCUGCCCUGGGGACGUGGAGCAUGACUCCAGUCUUACUCUUCUGCCCCUCUGACGCCUUCCCUAGGAAAUGUGCAUGCCUGAAAUUCCACCUGCAUGUCAGGUGAGGCCCCAUCCAGGAGCGACUUUAUUAGGAACGCCCUAACCCAGGACAAGGUGGGCCCACUGCGGUCUCUAAGGCCAGAGCUCGAGGGACCCUUAGGUGUUCAGUCAGCCUCGACCUCAAACUUUAUUAUCAGGAAAAAAUGUUGAGCAGGCACCCUGCAAAUCUACAGAGGGUGCCAAAAAAUGCGUACACGUUUUCAGAAAGGAAAAACCUAUUAAAUUUGUAAUACUCAAU